RNAcentral lists this ribosomal RNA (301 nucleotides) under uncultured bacterium. Its description in RNAcentral is "partial 16S ribosomal RNA". It matches the Rfam family "Bacterial small subunit ribosomal RNA", at positions 509 to 807 of the family's 1533-position model. The record is from RNAcentral.
CAGCCGCCGCGGUAACACGGAGGGUGCUAGCGUUGUUCGGAAUCACUGGGCGUAAAGGGCGCGUAGGCGGCCUGUUAAGUCGGAUGUGAAAGCCCGGGGCUCAACCCCGGAACUGCAUCCGAGACUGGCAGGCUUGAGACCGGGAGAGGAGGGUGGAAUAUCCAGUGUAGAGGUGAAAUUCGUAGAUAUUGGAUGGAACACCGGUGGCGAAAGCGGCUCUCUGGCCCGGAUCUGACGCUGAGGCGCGAAAGCGUGGGGAGCAAACAGGAUUAGAGACCCCCGUAGUCCCUGUCUCUUAUAC